This 426-nucleotide ribosomal RNA is filed under the name uncultured bacterium. RNAcentral's name for it is "bacterial SSU rRNA". It matches the Rfam family "Bacterial small subunit ribosomal RNA", at positions 506 to 930 of the family's 1533-position model. The record is from RNAcentral.
UGCCAGCAGCCGCGGUAAUACAGAGGUCCCGAGCGUUGUUCGGAUUCACUGGGCGUAAAGGGUGCGUAGGCGGUGGGGUAAGUUUGAUGUGAAAGCUCGCAGCUCAACUGCGAAAUGGCAUUGAAUACUACUCCGCUGGAGGCUUGGAGGGGGGACUGGAAUACUUGGUGUAGCAGUGAAAUGCGUAGAUAUCAAGUGGAACACCAGUGGCGAAGGCGAGUCCCUGGACAAGUCCUGACGCUGAGGCACGAAAGCUAGGGGAGCAAACAGGAUUAGAUACCCUGGUAGUCCUAGCCGUAAACGGUGCUUGCUUGCUGUAAAAGGAAUCGACCCCUUUUGUGGCGAAGCUAACGCGAUAAGCAAGCCGCCUGGGAAGUACGGUCGCAAGAUUAAAACUCAAAGGAAUUGACGGGGGCCCGCACAAGU